Non-coding RNA from Salvia hispanica, 228 nucleotides. NCBI's taxonomy places the organism in Eukaryota, Viridiplantae, Streptophyta, Magnoliopsida, Lamiales, Lamiaceae. The record is from RefSeq and is a predicted model, not a curated record.
UGGCUAAUCUUCCAGAGUUAGAGAAAUAAGAAACUACUGAGGGAAAGAAAAAUAAAAAGGAAGGAGAGAAACAUUAUUCAUACAGGAGAAAUUUAUAGAACGAAGGAUGGAAAUUAGGGAUUCAAAUAACUGCAAUCAGGAUCGAGGGUAAUUUAAGAGACAAAAUUGGGAGUUGAUUUGAUUAUAUGUCAUAAUCAGGAAUAAGAUAUGAGUGAAGUAUUUGGUUGA